UGCGAGUUUAGGGGCUCCUUCGGGAGCACCGGCGGACUGCUCAGUAACACGUGGACAACCUACCCUCGGGUGGGGGAUAACCUCGGGAAACUGAGGCUAAUACCCCAUAGGCCUCGGAUACUGGAAGGUUCCGAGACCGAAAGCUCCGGCGCCCGAGGAUGGGUCUGCGGCCUAUCAGGUAGUUGGUGGUGUAAAGGACCACCAAGCCUACGACGGGUACCGGCCCUGAGAGGGGGAGCCCGGAGAUGGACUCUGAGACACGAGUCCAGGCCCUACGGGGCGCAGCAGGCGCGAAACCUUCGCAAUGCGCGAAAGCGCGACGAGGGGAGCCCGAGUGCCCUUCCUUUCGGGAGGGCUUUUCUGGAGCCUAAAAAGCUCCAGGAAUAAGGGCUGGGCAAGACGGGUGCCAGCCGCCGCGGUAA
This 422-nucleotide ribosomal RNA is filed under the name uncultured archaeon. RNAcentral describes it as "bacterial SSU rRNA". It matches the Rfam family "Archaeal small subunit ribosomal RNA", at positions 52 to 473 of the family's 1478-position model. The record is from RNAcentral.